GCCUAACACAUGCAAGUCGAACGGUAACAGGAAGCAGCUUGCUGCUUUGCUGACGAGUGGCGGACGGGUGAGUAAUGUCUGGGAAACUGCCUGAUGGAGGGGGAUAACUACUGGAAACGGUAGCUAAUACCGCAUAACGUCGCAAGACCAAAGAGGGGGACCUUCGGGCCUCUUGCCAUCGGAUGUGCCCAGAUGGGAUUAGCUAGUAAGUGGGGUAACGGCUCACCUAAGCGACGAUCCCUAGCUGGUCUGAGAGGAUGACCAGCCACACUGGAACUGAGACACGGUCCAGACUCCUACGGGAGGCAGCAGUGGGGAAUAUUGCACAAUGGGCGCAAGCCUGAUGCAGCCAUGCCGCGUGUAUGAAGAAAGCCUUCGGGUUGUAAAGUACUUUCAGCGGGGAGGAAAGGAGUAAAGUUAAUACCUUUGCUCAUUGACGUUACCCGCAGAAGAAGCACCGGCUAACUCCGUGCCAGCAGCCGCGGUAAUACGGAGGGUGCAAGCGUUAAUCGGAAUUACUGGGCGUAAAGCGCACGCAAGCGGUUUGUUAAGUCAGAUGUGAAAUCCCCGGGCUCAACCU
This 580-nucleotide ribosomal RNA is filed under the name uncultured bacterium. RNAcentral describes it as "bacterial SSU rRNA". It matches the Rfam family "Bacterial small subunit ribosomal RNA", at positions 46 to 615 of the family's 1533-position model. The record is from RNAcentral.